RNAcentral lists this ribosomal RNA (465 nucleotides) under Vreelandella stevensii. Its description in RNAcentral is "partial 16S ribosomal RNA". It matches the Rfam family "Bacterial small subunit ribosomal RNA", at positions 338 to 795 of the family's 1533-position model. The record is from RNAcentral. Lineage: Bacteria; Pseudomonadati; Pseudomonadota; Gammaproteobacteria; Oceanospirillales; Halomonadaceae.
CCUACGGGAGGCAGCAGUGGGGAAUAUUGGACAAUGGGGGCAACCCUGAUCCAGCCAUGCCGCGUGUGUGAAGAAGGCCCUCGGGUUGUAAAGCACUUUCAGUGAGGAAGAACGCCUGGUGGUUAAUACCCAUCAGGAAAGACAUCACUCACAGAAGAAGCACCGGCUAACUCCGUGCCAGCAGCCGCGGUAAUACGGAGGGUGCGAGCGUUAAUCGGAAUUACUGGGCGUAAAGCGCGCGUAGGUGGCUUGAUAAGCCGGUUGUGAAAGCCCCGGGCUCAACCUGGGAACGGCAUCCGGAACUGUCAAGCUAGAGUGCAGGAGAGGAAGGUGGAAUUCCCAGUGUAGCGGUGAAAUGCGUAGAGAUCGGGAGGAAUACCAGUGGCGAAGGCGGCCUUCUGGACUGACACUGACACUGAGGUGCGAAAGCGUGGGUAGCAAACAGGAUUAGAUACCCUAGUAGUC